AAGUCGUAACAAGGUCUCCGUUGGUGAACCAGCGGAGGGAUCAUUACCGAGUUCUUUACGCUCGUAACCCUUUGUGAACCAUAAUACCCGUUGCUUCGGCGGCGCGCCGGCGACCGACUCCCCCCUUCGCCGGGGGAUUAGGGGACCGGGCCGCGCCCGCCGGUGUAUUCAGAAUCUCUGUUCGAACCCGACGUAACUUCUGAGUGUUCUAAGCGAACUGUUAAAACUUUCAACAACGGAUCUCUUGGCUCUA
Molecule: unclassified non-coding RNA, 253 nt
Filed under: air metagenome
Description: partial contains small subunit ribosomal RNA, internal transcribed spacer 1, and 5.8S ribosomal RNA
Rfam family: Eukaryotic small subunit ribosomal RNA (bases 1-46)
Source: RNAcentral